AGAGUUUGAUCAUGGCUCAGAUUGAACGCUGGCGGCAUGCUUUACACAUGCAAGUCGAACGGCAGCGCGGGGGCAACCCUGGCGGCGAGUGGCGAACGGGUGAGUAAUGCAUCGGAACGUACCCUGAAGUGGGGGAUAACGUAGCGAAAGUUACGCUAAUACCGCAUAUUCUGUGAGCAGGAAAGAGGGGGAUCGCAAGACCUCUUGCUUUAGGAGCGGCCGAUGUCGGAUUAGCUAGUUGGUGAGGUAAAGGCUCACCAAGGCGACGAUCCGUAGCGGGUCUGAGAGGAUGAUCCGCCACACUGGGACUGAGACACGGCCCAGACUCCUACGGGAGGCAGCAGUGGGGAAUUUUGGACAAUGGGCGCAAGCCUGAUCCAGCCAUGCCGCGUGAGUGAAGAAGGCCUUCGGGUUGUAAAGCUCUUUCGGUGGGGAAGAAAUGGCACGGGUUAAUACCCUGUGUUGAUGACGGUACCCGCAUAAGAAGCACCGGCUAACUACGUG
Molecule: ribosomal RNA, 504 nt
Filed under: uncultured bacterium
Lineage: Bacteria
Description: bacterial SSU rRNA
Rfam family: Bacterial small subunit ribosomal RNA
Source: RNAcentral